This 468-nucleotide ribosomal RNA is filed under the name uncultured bacterium. RNAcentral's name for it is "partial 16S ribosomal RNA". It matches the Rfam family "Bacterial small subunit ribosomal RNA", at positions 28 to 507 of the family's 1533-position model. The record is from RNAcentral.
GACGAACGCUGGCGGCGUGCUUAACACAUGCAAGUCGAACGGAAAGGCCCUGCGUUUGUGGGUUGCUCGAGUGGCGAACGGGUGAGUAACACGUGAGUAACCUGCCCUUGACUGUGGGAUAACUUCAGGGAACUGGGGCUAAUACCGGAUAGAAGCUACUGAUGCAUGGGGGGGGUUGGAGAGUGUCGGCGGUUGGGGAUGGACUCGCGGCUUAUCAGCUGGUUGGUGGGGUAGUGGCUUACCAAGCCUUUGACGGGUAGCCGGCCUGAGAGGGUGACCGGCCACAUUGGGACUGAGAUACGGCCCAGACUCCUACGGGAGGCAGCAGUGGGGAAUAUUGCACAAUGGGCGGAAGCCUGAUGCAGCAACGUCGCGUGCGGGAUGACGGCUUUCGGGUUGUAAACCGCUUUCGCCUGUGACGAAGCGUGAGUGACGGUAAUGGGUAAAGAAGCACCGGCUAACUACGUG